AUGCCUGCCUCCAUCUCCUCUGCAAUCCAGGUCGCCAGCGUGCGCACACAUGUUCCCGUGACGCUCGACCUGCAGGCGUCCAACUUCACCAAGUGGCGGAUGCUCGUCCGCGUCCUCCUUGGCAAGUACGAUUUUCUUCCUCACGUCAACACCGUCACUGCCGCGGUGGACCGCACGCCGGAUUGGACUCGCGAGGACUACGUCGUCCGGUCAUGGCUCUACGGGUCAAUCUCCGACGAGAUCCUCGACAUCAUCAUGGCCGAGGACCAGACGGCGCAGGAGGCAUGGACGCUCAUCACCAACCUCUUCCUCGACAAUCAUAUGACCCGUGCCGUCUACCUCGAGGCGGAGUUCCGUGGUCUUGUGCAAGGCGACCUCUCUGUCACCGCCUACUGCCAUCACCUCAAGGCUCUGUCGGAUGCCCUCGGCGACGUCGGCACCCCCGUCUCCGACCAGACCCUUGUCCUCAACUGCCUCCAUGGACUCAACCCGCGCUUCUCCGACAUCACCACCAUUGUCACCAUGCAGAGCCCCCUGCCGUCGUUCACCCAGACGCGCUCCCUUCUCACUCUGCGUGAGACCCAGCUUACGAACUCCUCGGCAGUGGGCAACCAGACCGCCCUCUACAGCGGUGGCCCGUCCCACGGCGCUGGCGGCUCCCAUGGCGCUGGCGGCCACCAUGGCUCUGGUAGCUCCAACUCCUCUGGUCAGUACCAUGGUGAUGCUAACCGGAACAACUCCGGCGGCAACCGCAAUGGUGGCAAUUGGCACAAGAAGAAGAACGGAAACAACAACAACAACAACAACAAUGGCGGCUCUUCUAGCGGUUACCGACCCGGCGUCGCUCCCUCCUCUGUUGGCCCGUGGGUUUGCUUCAACCCUCUCACGGGUCAGCAGCUGCAGGCGUCCCCAAUGGCUAGGCAGAACACCGGGGCCGGCCUCCUACGCCCACGACCCCCGGCGCUCCCGCUGGCGCAAGCUUUCACCUCGCUGGCUCCUCUCCAUGGACAAGCGUUCGGCACCAACCCACCGCCGAUUCCCGGCUAUGGCGGCGCUCCAUCUCGGGACUGCACCGCGUUGAUGGCCGCCAUCAACAACGCCGCCACCCCUCGACCGUUGGCGAGUGGGUCAUGGAUUCCGGCUCCACGGCACAUAUGGCCUCCGACCCCGGUAUGCUCCACCACCUAG
This 1188-nucleotide ribosomal RNA is filed under the name Triticum aestivum (bread wheat). RNAcentral's name for it is "partial small subunit ribosomal RNA". The record is from RNAcentral. Lineage: Eukaryota; Viridiplantae; Streptophyta; Magnoliopsida; Poales; Poaceae.